GAAAAUGCCACACUCCGAGAACAAUAUCCGGCUCUAUACAACACUUUGCGGCACAAGGGUGACACUAUCGCCACGGUAAUGGAAUUAUUUCCGCCAAAUGUGAUGUUCAGAAGAGAUUUAAUUGGACACAGACUCCAAUCAUGGAACAUCCUACUACAACGAUUGUCCACGGUGCAAUUGUCAUAAGGGUCUGAUGUAUUUCAAUGGAACCUCCAUCGGAAUAGACAUAUUCUUCAUGAUGCUCUCUUUAUGUUUCAAUUCUUAUCCUUUAUGUGA
This 276-nucleotide ribosomal RNA is filed under the name Triticum aestivum (bread wheat). Its description in RNAcentral is "partial small subunit ribosomal RNA". The record is from RNAcentral. Lineage: Eukaryota; Viridiplantae; Streptophyta; Magnoliopsida; Poales; Poaceae.